Molecule: unclassified non-coding RNA, 350 nt
Filed under: air metagenome
Description: partial contains small subunit ribosomal RNA, internal transcribed spacer 1, and 5.8S ribosomal RNA
Rfam family: Eukaryotic small subunit ribosomal RNA (bases 1-46)
Source: RNAcentral
AAGUCGUAACAAGGUUUCCGUAGGUGAACCUGCGGAAGGAUCAUUAACGAGUUUCUUUUGAAGUGGUCUUGAUGCUGGCUCUCGUUUCCUUCACCGGAGAUGGGAGCAUUGUGCUCGGACUGCGCUCAAAUCCACUCAAACCACUGUGCACUUCUCGAGACCUGCCGUCCUCCGUUGUGGGAGCAGCCCGCCUUUGUCGCACCUUUCUUGUAUACUCGAAAGCGAGCGCUUGGGUGGGCCGGGACGGUGUGGCCUCUUGACCCAUACUCAAAAACCCUUGAUCAAAGUCUGUAGAACGUAUCAUUUUAUGAAUUUAAAUACAACUUUCAACAACGGAUCUCUUGGCUCUC